AAAAAAUCCUUAAAUUAUAAAGUACAUAGUAAAAGGACAUGUUUUACAAAAAAAAAAAAAAAGUUUUAUGACCACACAGCACCACACAGAUUUUUUGGCAAAGAACACGAAUAAAACGCAAAUCACAAAGUAUGUUUUGUCAACUAACAGCAAGAACAAAACGCAAAAGACAGUUUAGUUGAAAGCAAAAUGUCAAUGUCAAGUCGAUGUCAAAUAAUGUAAACAUAUUAUUCAGAAAACAAUUUCUCUCGACAUUAACUAGUAUUUGAUCCGUGAUACAUAAACCAACCAAACAGUAACUAUACAAUUACAAUAUGAAUAUAAGCAUUAAAGAAAAAUUAGAAUACAUGAAACAUAUUAUUAUCACUGACUACCGACAAUUUAAAACACAUGCAUGAAUACCAUGUAGAAGUAGAACUUUUCUUCUCAUCAUGGUCUCAUGCCUAUCCAACCCGAGGCUGAGAAGCUCAAUCUGGGUCUUCAUCUGAGAAAGUGUUUGCCACACAAAAGCUUUAAAAUCAUUAAACUCACGCGAUAAAGUUGAAAUAUCGACAUGUGCUGGAACAGCUCCGGUAGAUGCCUUCUGCAGCUUCAGGUCAUAGUCGUUCAUACGUGUUUGGAAAAGCUUCUCGAGGCUUUCUAGACUAUUUAUAAGUUUCAGAUCCAUGAUGUGUGCAAGUAAAGUUUACGGCCAAAA
Long non-coding RNA from Bombyx mori (domestic silkworm), 697 nucleotides. RefSeq lists it as uncharacterized. NCBI's taxonomy places the organism in Eukaryota, Metazoa, Arthropoda, Insecta, Lepidoptera, Bombycidae. The transcript has 2 exons. The record is from RefSeq and is a predicted model, not a curated record.